This 253-nucleotide ribosomal RNA is filed under the name uncultured bacterium. RNAcentral's name for it is "partial 16S ribosomal RNA". It matches the Rfam family "Bacterial small subunit ribosomal RNA", at positions 524 to 776 of the family's 1533-position model. The record is from RNAcentral.
UACGGAGGGGGCUAGCGUUGUUCGGAAUUACUGGGCGUAAAGCGCACGUAGGCGGCUCGUUAAGUCAGAGGUGGAAGCCCGGAGCUCAACUCCGGAAUUGCCUUUGAAACUGGCGAGCUUGAACAUCGGAGAGGCAAGUGGAAUUCCGAGUGUAGAGGUGAAAUUCGUAGAUAUUCGGAAGAACACCAGUGGCGAAGGCGACUUGCUGGACGAUUGUUGACGCUGAGGUGCGAAAGCGUGGGGAGCAAACAGG